AUCCCAUGAUAAGGAUAGGCGGUGAUGUAUUCUUGUAGUAUUUCCCAUGCUUCUGGGAUCGUCUCAUCUUUCGUCUGCUGGAAACUUUAUAUUCUUCCACGAAGGGU
Molecule: small nucleolar RNA, 107 nt
Filed under: Oryza punctata
Lineage: Eukaryota; Viridiplantae; Streptophyta; Magnoliopsida; Poales; Poaceae
Description: Plant small nucleolar RNA R71
Rfam family: Plant small nucleolar RNA R71
About the family: R71 is a member of the C/D box family of snoRNAs containing the C (UGAUGA) and D (CUGA) box motifs. Multiple nearly identical copies of this snoRNA have been identified in Arabidopsis, and it is thought to function as a 2'-O-ribose methylation guide for 18S ribosomal RNA.
Source: Rfam by way of RNAcentral